This 2886-nucleotide ribosomal RNA is filed under the name Salmonella enterica subsp. enterica serovar Houston. RNAcentral's name for it is "23S ribosomal RNA". It matches the Rfam family "Bacterial large subunit ribosomal RNA". The record is from RNAcentral. Lineage: Bacteria; Pseudomonadati; Pseudomonadota; Gammaproteobacteria; Enterobacterales; Enterobacteriaceae.
GGGUUGUGAGGUUAAGCGACUAAGCGUACACGGUGGAUGCCCUGGCAGUCAGAGGCGAUGAAGGGCGUGCUAAUCUGCGAUAAGCGCCGGUAAGGUGAUAUGAACCGUUAUAACCGGCGAUACCCGAAUGGGGAAACCCAGUGUGAUUCGUCACACUAUCAUUAACUGAAUCCAUAGGUUAAUGAGGCGAACCGGGGGAACUGAAACAUCUAAGUACCCCGAGGAAAAGAAAUCAACCGAGAUUCCCCCAGUAGCGGCGAGCGAACGGGGAGGAGCCCAGAGCCUGAAUCAGCAUGUGUGUUAGUGGAAGCGUCUGGAAAGGCGCGCGAUACAGGGUGACAGCCCCGUACACAAAAGCGCAUGUGCUGUGAGCUCGAUGAGUAGGGCGGGACACGUGGUAUCCUGUCUGAAUAUGGGGGGACCAUCCUCCAAGGCUAAAUACUCCUGACUGACCGAUAGUGAACCAGUACCGUGAGGGAAAGGCGAAAAGAACCCCGGCGAGGGGAGUGAAAAAGAACCUGAAACCGUGUACGUACAAGCAGUGGGAGCNNNNNNNNNNNGUGACUGCGUACCUUUUGUAUAAUGGGUCAGCGACUUAUAUUCUGUAGCAAGGUUAACCGUAUAGGGGAGCCGGAGGGAAACCGAGUCUUAACCGGGCGUUAAGUUGCAGGGUAUAGACCCGAAACCCGGUGAUCUAGCCAUGGGCAGGUUGAAGGUUGGGUAACACUAACUGGAGGACCGAACCGACUAAUGUUGAAAAAUUAGCGGAUGACCUGUGGCUGGGGGUGAAAGGCCAAUCAAACCGGGAGAUAGCUGGUUCUCCCCGAAAGCUAUUUAGGUAGCGCCUCGUGAAUUCAUCUCCGGGGGUAGAGCACUGUUUCGGCUAGGGGGCCAUCCCGGCUUACCAACCCGAUGCAAACUGCGAAUACCGGAGAAUGUUAUCACGGGAGACACACGGCGGGUGCUAACGUCCGUCGUGAAGAGGGAAACAACCCAGACCGCCAGCUAAGGUCCCAAAGUCAUGGUUAAGUGGGAAACGAUGUGGGAAGGCCCAGACAGCCAGGAUGUUGGCUUAGAAGCAGCCAUCAUUUAAAGAAAGCGUAAUAGCUCACUGGUCGAGUCGGCCUGCGCGGAAGAUGUAACGGGGCUAAACCAUGCACCGAAGCUGCGGCAGCGANNGAAGGUGGCCUGUGAGGGUUGCUGGAGGUAUCAGAAGUGCGAAUGCUGACAUAAGUAACGAUAAAGCGGGUGAAAAGCCCGCUCGCCGGAAGACCAAGGGUUCCUGUCCAACGUUAAUCGGGGCAGGGUGAGUCGACCCCUAAGGCGAGGCCGAAAGGCGUAGUCGAUGGGAAACGGGUUAAUAUUCCCGUACUUGGUGUUACUGCGAAGGGGGGACGGAGAAGGCUAUGUUGGCCGGGCGACGGUUGUCCCGGUUUAAGCGUGUAGGUGUGUGUUCCAGGUAAAUCCGGUUCACUUUAACACUGAGGCGUGACGACGAGGCACUACGGUGCUGAAGCAACAAAUGCCCUGCUUCCAGGAAAAGCCUCUAAGCAUCAGGUAACAUCAAAUCGUACCCCAAACCGACACAGGUGGUCAGGUAGAGAAUACCAAGGCGCUUGAGAGAACUCGGGUGAAGGAACUAGGCAAAAUGGUGCCGUAACUUCGGGAGAAGGCACGCUGACAUGUAGGUGAAGUGAUUUACUCAUGGAGCUGAAGUCAGUCGAAGAUACCAGCUGGCUGCAACUGUUUAUUAAAAACACAGCACUGUGCAAACACGAAAGUGGACGUAUACGGUGUGACGCCUGCCCGGUGCCGGAAGGUUAAUUGAUGGGGUCAGCGCAAGCGAAGCUCCUGAUCGAAGCCCCGGUAAACGGCGGCCGUAACUAUAACGGUCCUAAGGUAGCGAAAUUCCUUGUCGGGUAAGUUCCGACCUGCACGAAUGGCGUAAUGAUGGCCAGGCUGUCUCCACCCGAGACUCAGUGAAAUUGAACUCGCUGUGAAGAUGCAGUGUACCCGCGGCAAGACGGAAAGACCCCGUGAACCUUUACUAUAGCUUGACACUGAACAUUGAGCCUUGAUGUGUAGGAUAGGUGGGAGGCUUUGAAGUGUGGACGCCAGUCUGCAUGGAGCCGACCUUGAAAUACCACCCUUUAAUGUUUGAUGUUCUAACGUGGACCCGUGAUCCGGGUUGCGGACAGUGUCUGGUGGGUAGUUUGACUGGGGCGGUCUCCUCCUAAAGAGUAACGGAGGAGCACGAAGGUUGGCUAAUCCUGGUCGGACAUCAGGAGGUUAGUGCAAUGGCAUAAGCCAGCUUGACUGCGAGCGUGACGGCGCGAGCAGGUGCGAAAGCAGGUCAUAGUGAUCCGGUGGUUCUGAAUGGAAGGGCCAUCGCUCAACGGAUAAAAGGUACUCCGGGGAUAACAGGCUGAUACCGCCCAAGAGUUCAUAUCGACGGCGGUGUUUGGCACCUCGAUGUCGGCUCAUCACAUCCUGGGGCUGAAGUAGGUCCCAAGGGUAUGGCUGUUCGCCAUUUAAAGUGGUACGCGAGCUGGGUUUAGAACGUCGUGAGACAGUUCGGUCCCUAUCUGCCGUGGGCGCUGGAGAACUGAGGGGGGCUGCUCCUAGUACGAGAGGACCGGAGUGGACGCAUCACUGGUGUUCGGGUUGUCAUGCCAAUGGCACUGCCCGGUAGCUAAAUGCGGAAGAGAUAAGUGCUGAAAGCAUCUAAGCACGAAACUUGCCCCGAGAUGAGUUCUCCCUGAGACUUUAAGUCUCCUGAAGGAACGUUGAAGACGACGACGUUGAUAGGCCGGGUGUGUAAGCGCAGCGAUGCGUUGAGCUAACCGGUACUAAUGAACCGUGAGGCUUAACCUUACAACGCCGAAG